UUGAACGCUGGCGGCAUGCCUUACACAUGCAAGUCGAACGGCAGCACGGGAGCAAUCCUGGUGGCGAGUGGCGAACGGGUGAGUAAUAUAUCGGAACGUGCCCAAUCGUGGGGGAUAACGCAGCGAAAGCUGUGCUAAUACCGCAUACGAUCUACGGAUGAAAGCAGGGGACCGCAAGGCCUUGCGCGGACGGAGCGGCCGAUGGCAGAUUAGGUAGUUGGUGGGAUAAAAGCUUACCAAGCCGACGAUCUGUAGCUGGUCUGAGAGGACGACCAGCCACACUGGGACUGAGACACGGCCCAGACUCCUACGGGAGGCAGCAGUGGGGAAUUUUGGACAAUGGGCGAAAGCCUGAUCCAGCCAUGCCGCGUGCAGGAUGAAGGCCUUCGGGUUGUAAACUGCUUUUGUACGGAACGAAAAAGUCUUCUCUAAUACAGGGGGCGAAUGACGGUACCGUAAGAAUAAGCACCGGCUAACUACGU
RNAcentral lists this ribosomal RNA (482 nucleotides) under uncultured bacterium. Its description in RNAcentral is "bacterial SSU rRNA". It matches the Rfam family "Bacterial small subunit ribosomal RNA", at positions 30 to 506 of the family's 1533-position model. The record is from RNAcentral.